This is a non-coding RNA of Pelobates fuscus (common spadefoot toad), 142 nucleotides long. RefSeq annotates it as small Cajal body-specific RNA 11. NCBI's taxonomy places the organism in Eukaryota, Metazoa, Chordata, Amphibia, Anura, Pelobatidae. The transcript has a single exon. The record is from RefSeq and is a predicted model, not a curated record.
GUUCCCCCCCCUACUACUAUUAUGGCCCCCACCCGCUGCCCAGGGGUGGGGGCCAGGGGGGGAGGACAGUAGGUACCCCUCCCUUUAUUACCAUUAUGGCCCCCACCCUCCGCCCAGGGGUGGGGGCCAGGGGGAGGACAGU